CCUACGGGGCGCAGCAGUGAGGAAUAUUGGUCAAUGGGCGAGAGCCUGAACCAGCCAAGUCGCGUGAAGGAUGACGGCCCUACGGGUUGUAAACUUCUUUUGUCAGGGAGCAAUUGGGUCCACGCGUGGGCUUAGCGAGAGUACCUGAAGAAAAAGCAUCGGCUAACUCCGUGCCAGCAGCCGCGGUAAUACGGAGGAUGCGAGCGUUAUCCGGAUUUACUGGGUGUAAAGGGAGCGUAGGCGGUAAGGCAAGUCUGAUGUGAAAGGCCAGGGCUCAACCCUGGGACUGCAUUGGAAACUGUUUAACUGGAGUGUCGGAGAGGCAAGUGGAAUUCCUAGUGUAGCGGUGAAAUGCGUAGAUAUUAGGAGGAACACCAGGGGCGAAGGCGGCUUGCUGGACGAUGACUGACGCUGAGGCUCGAAAGCGUGGGGAGCAAACAGGAUUAGAUACCCCGGUAGUC
Molecule: ribosomal RNA, 461 nt
Filed under: uncultured bacterium
Lineage: Bacteria
Description: partial 16S ribosomal RNA
Rfam family: Bacterial small subunit ribosomal RNA
Source: RNAcentral